Molecule: ribosomal RNA, 497 nt
Filed under: uncultured bacterium
Lineage: Bacteria
Description: partial 16S ribosomal RNA
Rfam family: Bacterial small subunit ribosomal RNA
Source: RNAcentral
GAUGAACGCUGGCGGCGUGCCUAAUACAUGCAAGUCGAGCGAACAGAUGAGGAGCUUGCUCCUCUGACGUUAGCGGCGGACGGGUGAGUAACACGUGGAUAACCUACCUAUAAGACUGGGAUAACUUCGGGAAACCGGAGCUAAUACCGGAUAAUAUAUUGAACCGCAUGGUUCAAUAGUGAAAGACGGUUUUGCUGUCACUUAUAGAUGGAUCCGCGCCGCAUUAGCUAGUUGGUAAGGUAACGGCUUACCAAGGCGACGAUGCGUAGCCGACCUGAGAGGGUGACCGGCCACACUGGAACUGAGACACGGUCCAGACUCCUACGGGAGGCAGCAGUAGGGAAUCUUCCGCAAUGGGCGAAAGCUUGACGGAGCAACGCCGCGUGAGUGAUGAAGGUCUUCGGAUCGUAAAACUCUGUUAUUAGGGAAGAACAAAUGUGUAAGUAACUACGCACGUCUUGACGGUACCUAAUCAGAAAGCCACGGCUAACUACGUG